AUUGAACGCUGGCGGCAGGCCUAACACAUGCAAGUCGAGCGGUAGCACAGGGGAGCUUGCUCCUUGGGUGACGAGCGGCGGACGGGUGAGUAAUGUCUGGGGAUCUGCCCGAUGGAGGGGGAUAACUACUGGAAACGGUGGCUAAUACCGCAUGAUGUCGCGAGGCCAAAGUGGGGGACCUUCGGGCCUCACACCAUCGGAUGAACCCAGAUGGGAUUAGCUAGUAGGUAGGGUAAUGGCCUACCUAGGCGACGAUCUCUAGCUGGUCUGAGAGGAUGACCAGCCACACUGGGACUGAGACACGGCCCAGACUCCUACGGGAGGCAGCAGUGGGGAAUAUUGCACAAUGGGCGCAAGCCUGAUGCAGCCAUGCCGCGUGUAUGAAGAAGGCCUUCGGGUUGUAAAGUACUUUCAGCGAGGAGGAAGGGGGUAGACUUAAUACGUUUACUCAUUGACGUUACUCGCAGAAGAAGCACCGGCUAACUCCGUGCCAGCAGCCGCAGUAAAAC
Molecule: ribosomal RNA, 509 nt
Filed under: uncultured bacterium
Lineage: Bacteria
Description: bacterial SSU rRNA
Rfam family: Bacterial small subunit ribosomal RNA
Source: RNAcentral